UUGAACGAGAGAAUAAAACUUACGCAUUACAUAAGGAAAUGUCUCAUAAGUAUCCACUUUACUGGCCCUAUAUCAACAGGAAAUUUAGUUGCAUCGCUCUUGUGGUCAAAUGUUUAGAGGAGUAUUUAUUUUCAGAGCCACCAGCCAUAAUUACGGAGUUCAGUGCUGUGCAUGGAAUGGGUUUGGAAGCAAUGGCAAGAAGAAUGGGCUAUCUUUCUAAAUUCUGACAUGCAAUAAAGUGGGAAUGAUAAUACUGCCCCCAUUCAUUAUCUCCCUGACUUCAUCUCUCAGCAUGGUGUGAGAAUGUGAUGUUAACAGUGCAUGCAAGUGCAGGAAAGAACAGGAAUUCUGCUGCCUCUUAG
Molecule: long non-coding RNA, 362 nt
Organism: Lonchura striata (white-rumped munia)
Lineage: Eukaryota; Metazoa; Chordata; Aves; Passeriformes; Estrildidae
Source: RefSeq, a predicted model, not a curated record